AAAAAAUUGAUGAAAAAAUUUCGUAUAACUCCAAUGAUAUGGUUUGGGGGUCUCUACCAGGAACCGAUAAUUCCUGAUUACGAAGAAGGUACAUGUACGU
RNAcentral lists this non-coding RNA (100 nucleotides) under Bacillus sp. (in: firmicutes). Its description in RNAcentral is "Bacillus sp. Guanine sequence". It matches the Rfam family "Purine riboswitch aptamer". Rfam says of the family: Riboswitches are metabolite binding domains within certain messenger RNAs that serve as precision sensors for their corresponding targets. Allosteric rearrangement of mRNA structure is mediated by ligand binding, and this results in modulation of gene expression. The record is from RNAcentral. Lineage: Bacteria; Bacillati; Bacillota; Bacilli; Caryophanales; Bacillaceae. RNAcentral also lists the same sequence under 1 other name.